AUUGAACGCUGGCGGCAGGCCUAACACAUGCAAGUCGAGCGGAUGAAGGGAGCUUGCUCCUGGAUUCAGCGGCGGACGGGUGAGUAAUGCCUAGGAAUCUGCCUGGUAGUGGGGGAUAACGUCCGGAAACGGGCGCUAAUACCGCAUACGUCCUGAGGGAGAAAGUGGGGGAUCUUCGGACCUCACGCUAUCAGAUGAGCCUAGGUCGGAUUAGCUAGUUGGUGGGGUAAAGGCCUACCAAGGCGACGAUCCGUAACUGGUCUGAGAGGAUGAUCAGUCACACUGGAACUGAGACACGGUCCAGACUCCUACGGGAGGCAGCAGUGGGGAAUAUUGGACAAUGGGCGAAAGCCUGAUCCAGCCAUGCCGCUUGUGUGAAGAAGGUCUUCGGAUUGUAAAGCACUUUAAGUUGGGAGGAAGGGCAGUAAGUUAAUACCUUGCUGUUUUGACGUUACCAACAGAAUAAGCACCGGCUAACUUCGUG
This 484-nucleotide ribosomal RNA is filed under the name uncultured bacterium. Its description in RNAcentral is "partial 16S ribosomal RNA". It matches the Rfam family "Bacterial small subunit ribosomal RNA", at positions 30 to 507 of the family's 1533-position model. The record is from RNAcentral.